Tinamus guttatus (white-throated tinamou) is the source of this 213-nucleotide non-coding RNA. Lineage: Eukaryota; Metazoa; Chordata; Aves; Tinamiformes; Tinamidae. The record is from RefSeq and is a predicted model, not a curated record.
GUUUUUCAAAACGCCAAGGCAAGCAGAAGACAAAAAUCAUUUGCCAUAUUUAUUCUUGAAACUAAGCUCUUAAUUAUACAAGUGCAAAAGUGAUCAACUAGCUCAAUACUCCUAUAAAAUUUGACUAAAUAGAGUAUCUCAAAAGUAUGUACAAUAUGAUGGAAAUCCUAACAUAAACUGUCACAGUGCUCAGCCAUGCCACUGUAAAUCAAG